UUCGGUACCGGAAUCGCUGGUUAUCGAUUUAGAUAUAGCUACACGUUCGGAACCAUCUGCGGCGGCUUCCUUCGUGGAACCGCCCGCAGAACCAAAUGCCUGUGAAUUUAAUUUUCCCAUUUCAGAGCCUUCGGAGGGAGUUCCGGAACCACAAAAUUCUAACUCUUCCCUAAAUUCUAAAAAAUCUGUCCGUUUUACAGAUUUCGCCCAGGUUAAGGAGUUUUCAGGGUCGGAAUCUUUCGUUCCGACCCUGUACUCGGUUCUAGUAAAAGAUCCUCCGGAAACGGCGCCGGAACUGCCUCCGCUAAAUUCGAAAGAAACAAAAUAUUUUUGGUGUUACUCCUGCUGUCAAAAUUCCAGUACGAACACUUUGCCCUGGUUGCUGCGAUUGCGGUAUUCUAAAUUUGCGAUGUGGUUGCGCAGCUUUUUCUGCGGUUCGAUGUGUUGCGCUGUUAUUGGUUUGUUUGUUUUUGUUUAAUUGUUGAUGAUUUUCUCGUUUCAUGAGCGGUUUCUUGUUCCUGUUACAUAUUUUUCUGACGGAUGGAUUGGAGUUGCUAGUGUAGAAAAUGGAAUUGCAUUGAUAAAACUGAUGAUAUUGAAGAUGGCGAUUAUGACGAUGAUGAUGAUGAUAGACGAAGCUGAUGACGACGAUGAUUGAAUAUUUUUGAGUGGAGGAGAUAAUUAACAAUUUUACAGAUACUGACUGGAUACUAGGCACGGUUGCGGUGGAGUUCGAUGAUUGGAGGAGAAUCUUGAAGACAUCUUGAAGAACAUUACAUUAUUUUACAAAUGAAUUGUCAUUUAUUAAAUGAAUUGUACUUUAUUAGAAUUGUUUGUAAU
This is a long non-coding RNA of Culex pipiens pallens (northern house mosquito), 840 nucleotides long. RefSeq lists it as uncharacterized. The transcript has 3 exons. NCBI's taxonomy places the organism in Eukaryota, Metazoa, Arthropoda, Insecta, Diptera, Culicidae. The record is from RefSeq and is a predicted model, not a curated record.